This 253-nucleotide ribosomal RNA is filed under the name uncultured bacterium. RNAcentral's name for it is "partial 16S ribosomal RNA". It matches the Rfam family "Bacterial small subunit ribosomal RNA", at positions 524 to 776 of the family's 1533-position model. The record is from RNAcentral.
UACGUAGGAGGCAAGCGUUGUCCGGAUUUACUGGGCGUAAAGAGCGUGUAGGCGGCAUGGCAAGUCUGCUGUGAAAGCUCUCGGCUUAACCGGGAGAGGUCGGUGGAAACUGCCAAGCUUGAGGACGGUAGAGGGGGGUGGAAUUCCCGGUGUAGUGGUGAAAUGCGUAGAUAUCGGGAGGAACACCAGUGGCGAAGGCGGCCCCCUGGGCCGCUCCUGACGCUGAGACGCGAAGGCUAGGGUAGCGAACGGG